Molecule: long non-coding RNA, 451 nt
Filed under: Mytilus galloprovincialis (Mediterranean mussel)
Lineage: Eukaryota; Metazoa; Mollusca; Bivalvia; Mytilida; Mytilidae
Source: RNAcentral
GCAUGCUGUUUUUUUUUGUGUUGACGUCCGAAAUACUGCACUGUAGACUUACAGUUAGGGUUUUUUGCUUGUGAGAGAAACAUGUUUAACCCCGCCACAUUAUUUAUGUAUGUGCCUGUCCCAAGUCAGGAGCCUGUAAUUCAGUGGUUGUCGUUUGUUUAUGUGUUACAUAUUUUUCGUUCAUUUUUUUACAUAAAUAAGGCCGUUAGUUUUCUCGUUUGAAUUGUUUUACAUUGUCUUAUCGGGGCCUAUUAUAGCUGACUGUGCGGUGUGGGCUUUGCUCAUUGUUGAAGGCCGUACGGUGACCUAUAGUUGUUGAUGUCUGUGUCAUUUUGGUCUUUUGUAGAUAGUUGUCUCAUUGGCAAUCAUACCACAUCUUCUUUUUUAUAUUAGCUUAUUGUUCCUGCUUUCCGUAAAAAAAGAAUGGCUUUUCCAUGAUAUUAUAUGUUAC